This is a long non-coding RNA of Anguilla rostrata (American eel), 1179 nucleotides long. RefSeq lists it as uncharacterized. Lineage: Eukaryota; Metazoa; Chordata; Actinopteri; Anguilliformes; Anguillidae. The record is from RefSeq and is a predicted model, not a curated record. The transcript has 2 exons.
UGAACGCAACACUUGUGAAAGAAAAUAUAUGCAAAACUCGAUAACGUUGCCAUGUCCGCUGACUUACAGCAGUCGAAUAUAAAUGUAUAAUUUCCUGCUAAAAAUGGGUAAACAUUUGGCACUGGCUAGGUACCACAGAAAUGCACAAGUUCUUAUACAACCGUGCAAGUUCCUAUAGGUACCGAGCCAACAGCUAGCUAGCUUUUCUAAACUACCUUCCUGGUAAUACAUUUUCGAAAUGUGAAGGGGUAGCUAUUCGUGCGAUGAACCAUUACUUGUUCUACCAUUGGCUCGUAGCACCAUGAAUGUACCAUCAAACAACUCCCUGAUAGGUCCAACACCAAGCCAUUCAACGGUUAAUUCCUGCCGACAUUAAACCGAAUUCAAAGACAGAAAAAAGGAACAAAAUGGAGAAUCUGGCAUUAAGCCAAGGUCAUAGUUCGUGACCCCGUUCCGCCAGCGUGCUGGGAGUUUUUUCUUCUUCCUCCUCCAGCGCCCUUCUCCUUCCUAGCGCACAGAGCGGCGCGAGCCAGACAGCGGUGACGUCAGCCUGUCUGCACCUGAAGGACCGCCUUUGAUUGGCCAAUUUUUUAAAAUUUUAUUUCUUCUUUUGUAUUCAUACAAUGCAAUGUAUUGAAAUGGCUGUAUCUGGUCAGGAAAGUGAAAAGAACCAGCAGCUUAGGAAAGAAAUGCACGGCUAGUGAUCAUGAAACUGAACUUGAUGACUUGGAUGAGUCUUUAAAUAUUUGUUUUUAAAAUGCUGUUUUUAUACGCUAGUUUUAUAUUUGCAAUAUUUAAAAUACUUUCUCAAGAACCAAUGCUUGUUAUGUAUCAAGUUCCAAGUAUUUUCACACACUCCCUUAAAAUGCCACUGAUAUUUCAAAAACUGCAUGUAGGAGUGAUAAAAACGCUUGUGUAUAAUUCCUUAGAUAAAUGUUAGGGAAUACAUUUAUCAGUUUACUUGACUUAAGACUUGAUCUUUAUUCGAGUAAAAGCUAGCUGAUUAUGUUUGGACAAUAGAAAUGGAAUAGAUGUCCACUUUUGUGCCAUUUUGGAAUAAAAUUUGAAGUGGAGAGUCAUUUAUAUUCGAAUACAAUGCUUGAGUUAUGCGAAUGUACAUGGAAGUAAAGUUCUGAACACCAUGGGUGCAUAUUUUAAUUAAAAGACUGAUCAGCAUUA